Transfer RNA from Hirschia baltica ATCC 49814, 72 nucleotides. It matches the Rfam family "tRNA". From Rfam's summary of the family: Transfer RNA (tRNA) molecules are approximately 80 nucleotides in length. Their secondary structure includes four short double-helical elements and three loops (D, anti-codon, and T loops). The record is from Rfam. Lineage: Bacteria; Pseudomonadati; Pseudomonadota; Alphaproteobacteria; Hyphomonadales; Hyphomonadaceae.
GCGGGUGUAGCUCAGGGGUAGAGCGCAACCUUGCCAAGGUUGAAGUCGAGAGUUCGAAUCUCUUCACCCGCU